Flavobacterium plurextorum is the source of this 117-nucleotide non-coding RNA. NCBI's taxonomy places the organism in Bacteria, Pseudomonadati, Bacteroidota, Flavobacteriia, Flavobacteriales, Flavobacteriaceae. The record is from Rfam.
CAGUUAUCACGAAAGGCGGAGGGAUAGACCCGAUGAAACCUUAGCAACCCUUUAUCAUAAAGAAGGUGCUAAAUUCUACUUUAUACUACAUUUUCCAGUAUUAAAGAUAGAUAACAC